CCAGCUUGCUGUGUCCAUCACAGGGGAGGGGUGUGUCAGACAGCGGAGAGUUGGAGAGACUGGUUUGUUGGUGGGAAGUGAAACCGGGACCAGAGAGAGGGUGAGAAAGGCCCUUACAGCUCUUCCCUCUGCUGCCUCCGUGCUGAGAUGCUGGCCACUGUGAUUUCAGCAUUUCCAGAUUUGAUUUGAAUUGACCUCCUUUCGGCUGUGAUGUGUUUUGGAAUGUUCUGCAGUUGUGAGAGAGUGGGGAGGGUAGGAAUGUUUAGACCCCUGUGUAUUUCUGCACCUGGCUGUGUGGCUGAAGCCGUACAAAUCAACCUGGAUCUCACGUGUCUUUAACCCGAGCAGUCUGGAGGUGAAUAAUUCUUCUGUGCGUACAGACAUUUGUAACUGUUUGUGUUGAAGCAAUGGGGUCAAAAACCUACUUUAAAGUUCUUGUGCUUGCGUCCUUCCUGGUGUCUGCUUUUCUGGUGCUAAGUUUCCAUGUGACCCGUGGGCUGACUGAAGUCUCUGGUGGGUCAGAUCCCCGCACUCUGCUGAAGCAAGUGAAGAGCGAGGAUGACGAAGACGAGGUCGUCAACCAGCGCUUCAGGAUCGAUUUUGAGGCUCUGCACAGCCGCCGGUAUGAACCACCUCCUUGCCAGAAGGGGCAGGUCCUCCUGGUCCUUGUGACAUCUGCCCAGCCCAAUGUUGACCGUAGGAAUGCUAUUCGCAACACAUGGGCACUGGGCUGGGAGCAGAGUGCCUUCCCUUGGCAAGUGGUCUUCCUGGUUGGCCAGGCCACGGGAGAAGGGGCAGCCGACCUAAUCCAAUCGGAGCAGGAAGUGUUCCAAGACGUGUUAGUGGGAAACUACCUGGAUACUUACAGAAACCUUACGCUAAAAGUCAUGCACGGUUUAAAGUGGGCGGUGAGCACUUGCCGGCCUUUGUACAUCCUCAAAACUGAUGAUGACUGCUUUGUAAACACAGACAGGCUGCCUCGCUUUCUGGUCCGGGACAAUCCGAUCCAGACGGGCCUUUACGCUGGCUCUCUGUUUGCACCCGAGAAGCGGGAAGUCAUCCGGAAUCCCUGGAGCAAAUGGUAAACAUUGUUUCUUACUUCGGAGUGCUGCAAGCCUGACAAAAGGAAACAGGACAACAAAAGGACUCUUUCAGCCGGAACACAGUUUUCCAUGUUGCAUUGUAGGAAAUGAAAUACUUCAAAAAGAUGCUGUAAAACCCAUCUCCUGAUUCCCUAAGGCCUGUCCACCAUCUACAAGACACAAGUCGGGAGUGUGAUGGAAGACUGUCCACUUACCUGGAGGAGUGCAGCUCCAACAACACCCUAAUCACCGGCAGCGAGUCCUGGAGCUGCGUGCAAGCAACAAGUCCCAGAGCAGCGAGGGCUGAGAGUCCUGGAGCAGUGUGCCAGCUGUGAUUCCCAGGCAAAGACCACCAUAGGCAAGGCAGUCCUAGAAUUUA
Molecule: RNA transcript, 1461 nt
Organism: Stegostoma tigrinum
Lineage: Eukaryota; Metazoa; Chordata; Chondrichthyes; Orectolobiformes; Stegostomatidae
Gene name: beta-1,3-galactosyltransferase 4-like
Exons: 5
Source: RefSeq, a predicted model, not a curated record